CUGGAAUGAUUCAUGGCUCAAACCUACAUGGCCCCUGGAUUGGACUGCGGCCGAUCAGGCUGUUGGUGAGGUAAUGGCCCACCAAACCUGUUACCGGUACGGGCUCUGAGAGGAGGAGCCCGGAGAUGGGCACUGAGACAAGGGCCCAGGCCCUAUGGGGCGCAGCAGGCGCGAAACCUCUGCAAUAGGGGAGAGCCUGACAGGGUUACUCUGAGUGAUUUCCGCUAAGGGAAUCUUUUGGCACCUCUAAAAAUGGUGCAGAAUAAGGGGUGGGCAAGUCUGGUGUCAGCCGCCGCGGUAAUACCAGCACCCCGAGUGGUCGGGACGAUUAUUGGGCCUAAAGCAUCCGUAGCCGGUCCUACAAGUCUUCCGUUAAAUCCAGCUGCUUAACAGAUGGGCCGCGGGAGAUACUACAGGGCUAGGAGGCGGGAGAGGCAAGCGGUACUUUAUGGGUAGGGGUAAAAUCCGCUGAUCCAUAGAAGA
RNAcentral lists this ribosomal RNA (483 nucleotides) under uncultured archaeon. RNAcentral's name for it is "bacterial SSU rRNA". It matches the Rfam family "Archaeal small subunit ribosomal RNA", at positions 170 to 656 of the family's 1478-position model. The record is from RNAcentral.